RNAcentral lists this long non-coding RNA (287 nucleotides) under Prunus persica (peach). RNAcentral describes it as "long non-coding RNA (PPER_LNC000927)". Lineage: Eukaryota; Viridiplantae; Streptophyta; Magnoliopsida; Rosales; Rosaceae. The record is from RNAcentral.
CACAGGGCUCGGAUUCCAAAGCGUAAUUUGGGUCGGGUCUUGUCAAACAAUGGUUGGGACAACAAACAUCCAUCUCGUUCGUAUUUUGGAUACCCGUAUAACCAUCGAAGACUGUUGAAGUGACUAAUUCCUGCAAAUUUAAGGGCGUUGAAGACAAAGAAAUUGUUGGAGUAACUUUUUUUUUAUCUAAUACCAACAUGCUUGAUGUUAAGGAAAGAUCUUCUACAAGAAGGUUGGCUAGAGAUUUCAUGUAAAAACACCAGCCCCGCUUAGUUUAUAAUGAGAAU